Molecule: non-coding RNA, 26 nt
Filed under: Mus musculus (house mouse)
Lineage: Eukaryota; Metazoa; Chordata; Mammalia; Rodentia; Muridae
Source: RNAcentral
UGACAGAGCUGAGUGGCAGUACCAUC